RNAcentral lists this ribosomal RNA (481 nucleotides) under uncultured bacterium. RNAcentral describes it as "partial 16S ribosomal RNA". It matches the Rfam family "Bacterial small subunit ribosomal RNA", at positions 28 to 507 of the family's 1533-position model. The record is from RNAcentral.
GAUGAACGCUGGCGGCGUGCUUAACACAUGCAAGUCGAACGAAGCAUUUAGGACAGAUUACUUCGGUUUGAAGUUCUUUAUGACUGAGUGGCGGACGGGUGAGUAACGCGUGGGUAACCUGCCUUGUACUGGGGGAUAGCAGCUGGAAACGGCUGGUAAUACCGCAUAAGCGCACAAUGUUGCAUGACAUGGUGUGAAAAACUCCGGUGGUAUAAGAUGGACCCGCGUCUGAUUAGCUAGUUGGUGAGAUAACAGCCCACCAAGGCGACGAUCAGUAGCCGACCUGAGAGGGUGACCGGCCACAUUGGGACUGAGACACGGCCCAGACUCCUACGGGAGGCAGCAGUGGGGAAUAUUGCACAAUGGAGGAAACUCUGAUGCAGCGACGCCGCGUGAGUGAAGAAGUAAUUCGUUAUGUAAAGCUCUAUCAGCAGGGAAGAUAGUGACGGUACCUGACGAAGAAGCUCCGGCUGAAUACGUG